RNAcentral lists this ribosomal RNA (449 nucleotides) under uncultured bacterium. RNAcentral describes it as "bacterial SSU rRNA". It matches the Rfam family "Bacterial small subunit ribosomal RNA", at positions 355 to 825 of the family's 1533-position model. The record is from RNAcentral.
UGGGGAAUAUUGGACAAUGGGCGCAAGCCUGAUCCAGCCAUGCCGCGUGGAUGAUGAAGGCCCUAGGGUUGUAAAGUCCUUUUCGGCGGGGAAGAUAAUGACGGUACCCGCAGAAGAAGCCCCGGCUAACUUCGUGCCAGCAGCCGCGGUAAUACGAAGGGGGCUAGCGUUGCUCGGAAUCACUGGGCGUAAAGCGCACGUAGGCGGAUUCUUAAGUCGGUGGUGAAAUCCUGGAGCUCAACUCCAGAACUGCCUCCGAUACUGAGAGUCUUCGAGUCCGGGAGAGGUGAGUGGAACUGCGAGUGUAGAGGUGAAAUUCGUAGAUAUUCGCAAGAACACCAGUGGCGAAGGCGGCUCACUGGCCCGGUACUGACGCUGAGGUGCGAAAGCUAGGGGAGCAAACAGGAUUAGAUACCCAUGUAGUCCCUGAGCGGGCUGGCAAGGCGCAU